Molecule: transfer RNA, 82 nt
Filed under: Xylaria arbuscula
Lineage: Eukaryota; Fungi; Ascomycota; Sordariomycetes; Xylariales; Xylariaceae
Description: tRNA-Asp
Rfam family: tRNA
About the family: Transfer RNA (tRNA) molecules are approximately 80 nucleotides in length.
Source: RNAcentral
UCUCGAUUGGUCUAGUGGUAAGGAUACCUGCUUGUCAAAAGAUAAUGCGCAGGUGGCCGGGGUUCGAUUCCCCGAUCGAGAG